Molecule: long non-coding RNA, 1320 nt
Filed under: Callithrix jacchus (white-tufted-ear marmoset)
Lineage: Eukaryota; Metazoa; Chordata; Mammalia; Primates; Cebidae
Description: lncRNA (ENSCJAG00000071184.1)
Source: RNAcentral
AACGCCGCGGGGUGGGGGGCCACGUGCUUCCGGCGUGACCUACCGACCGGAAGUGGCCUGAGUCGGGUGGGAUAGGGUGGCGCCGCUAGGCCGGGAGGGCGGAGGCCCUGAGCCCCAGCCUCCCACCUCGGGGCCACAUUGGGAACCUUAUCAACAGCAUCGACACCUCCUCUGAUGGCCCCAGCCACAAUCUCUUCCACUUCCAGCUACUUGAGUCACUUCUGAGGCUCAACUGGGAGACCCCUCACACACAGGUGAAGGUGUGGCCGUGGCACCUCAGACCUCCUGGUCUCCUCAGGAAUGAAGGUCAUUGCCAUCCUCCUCCUCCUCCUCUCGUGAUUGGCAGCCCCCACCCACAGCAGCUUCUGGCAGUGUCAGAGGAUGGUCAAACACAUCACGGGGUGGAGUGCCUUCUUCUCCUAUUACAGAUAUGGCUGCUACUGUGGGCUUGGGAGCAAAGGGAUCCCUGUGGAUGACACUGACAGGUGGGUGCAGAGGCUCUGAGGCCACCUAUCAUUUCUUUUGCAUUAAAGUUCAUGCUCGAAGCCAGAGAGAGGGUUUUAGGAACAGAAAAUGACUCAGGCUAAUGGAAGGAAUAACUGAAGGGGACUCUGAGGAUGGGUCUUGAGAAACCCAGUGUCAGGGCCAGCUUCUUGAGUGUGUGUGUGACCUGUAAAGUUUUGCAGGGGCUGGCACUCCUAAGGGCCUAAAUGUGGUUUACUGCUCUGCUGCCACCAUCUUGAAAUUCUUAAUAAAGGGCCCCAUGCUUUCAUUUUGCUUUGGCCUCUGCAAUUAUGCCGUCGGUCCUGCCCGGAGCUCUGGAAGCUGUUUCAUCCUCAUAGUAAAAGUGCUCUGCUUUCAGCCCUCCAGCUUUUAGGACUAUAGGCACAGCACAACUGACUCACUAGGCCUAAUUCCAUAUUCUGGGAGACAGAACCCAAGUGCCCCACUUCGGAGAGGUUGUCCAUCUGGGCGAGGUUGCAUGGCACAAACCUGGCUUCCAGGCCUACUCUAAAGGAUGGGGGUGGGGGAGUGUGAGUUCCUAGAAAAAGUAGAGGUGGGUGUCUCCUGGUGAGUAUAUGUGUGGGGAGGUAGGAAACAGGACAGUUUGCAUGUCAUUUCAUUUGAAGAAAUAAGAAAGUGAAAUGUUCCUUGCCACAUUUAACCUAGUGUGGAGAAAUAUAUAUGUCCCCACAGUGGGGCCUUAAAUAUCACUCCUGGAACUCAAGUCUCGUGGGUUGGGCUCAUGGAACCAUGGAAGGACCUCAGAGCUCUGGAAGGGCAACUGACACUUAUGAAAUGCCCAUUAUGUGCCAAGCA